CCGUCCAGCCUUCAGCUAUUGCUCCACUUGCCACACCUUUUGGUAGGGAGCUUGAGGUGGACGUAGAUCAAAUUGACUCUUAAGUUAGGAGGGCUUCUUGGAGUAUUGACCUGCCCUCAAAGGCACAAGAGGACAUC
Non-coding RNA from Hemicordylus capensis (graceful crag lizard), 137 nucleotides. RefSeq annotates it as small Cajal body-specific RNA 11. The record is from RefSeq and is a predicted model, not a curated record. NCBI's taxonomy places the organism in Eukaryota, Metazoa, Chordata, Lepidosauria, Squamata, Cordylidae. The transcript has a single exon.